RNAcentral lists this long non-coding RNA (685 nucleotides) under Capsicum annuum. Its description in RNAcentral is "long non-coding RNA (CANN_LNC012255)". The record is from RNAcentral. Lineage: Eukaryota; Viridiplantae; Streptophyta; Magnoliopsida; Solanales; Solanaceae.
AACACAAUUACACUAAUCGCGCACUCAUUAGGUGUACCGCUAUGUCUUCUAACAUUAACACUCUAAACAUUAUCUUACACAAAUAUCGAAAUCAUUUUAAUGAAUAUUAGUUCAAACCAACAAACCAAUUGUAAUUUUAAAAUGUAGAGCACAAACUACAUAAAAGUAACGAAAUAUACACACUAGAUAACAUAAGAAAUCAUUGAAAAUAACUUUAUUCAUACUUUUACUCUCAACGAAACUUAUAAAAUAAAUAGUGUAGAAUGAGAAAAAAAAACCUGAAUAAUGAAUUAAUUAAAAAGGAACCCGAUGGACGUCACCGAAAACUCAACCGGAACUUCAAACUCAAACUCUCCUUCUUAUAUUUUUUUUUCUUGGUUUUUCUUCUUCUUCUCCCGUGUGCGUGUGUGUAAUAUGUAAUAUGUAGUUGUAGUUGUCGUCCGUGGUGUAGUGUGCAUGUGCAUAUAUAUAUUCUAUCUAGUGCAUGUGUGUGUAGUAGUUAUAUAUAGUAGUGCAUAUAUAGUAGUCUUUGUAGUGUCUGUCCUCUAUAUAAUAUGUAGUGUAGUGGUAUAUAUAGUAUAGUGUAGUGUGUUAGUUUCUUGUUUUUGGUUUCCGUGUGUGUGUAUAUGUAGUGGUAGUAUGUGUGUAGUGUAUGUAGUAUAGUGGUGUUUGUGUUGUGUGUGGG